GACUGAGGACACUGUAUUAUCCAUAUUUUGGUGAUGGAUUAAGCUUGAAUUUAGAUAAUAUUUUUUUAAAUUGUAGGAGCAUGCGUGCUUUGAGUUUUAGAUGGAAUAUCAAUGGAUUGCCAGAUUCAAUUGGAAAGUUGAAACACCUGAGGUACCUUGAAUUGUUUAGAAAUACUAAAAUCAGUUCACUUCCAAACUGCAUUUGCAGCUCGUAUAAUUUGCAAACUCUAAUACUGUUGGAAUGUCGGGUUCUUAAAGAAUUACCUACAGACAUGAGGAAAUUGAUUUGUCUCGGACAACUUAUUAAUAAGGGUUGUAGUAGCCUUGAAUUCAUGCCAUUGGGGUUGGGGAGAUUGACAAAUCUGCAGACUUUGUCAACUUUUGUUGUGGGAAGUGAUCAAGGAAGGAGAUGUUCCUCAUUGAAUGAGUUGAAUAGCUUAAACCGGCUAAGAGGUAAAAUCUCCAUUAAAGGACUAGAAAAUGUGAAAAAUGCAGCUUUGGAGUCCAGCCGAGUAAAUCUCAAGGAAAAGAAAUACCUUCUCUGCUUAAGAUUAAGGUGGGAUGGCAAGGGAGAUAGCAAUAGUGGAAAUAGUGAGUUGUUGUUGGAUAACCUACACCCUCACCCGAACUUGAAAGAAUUGAACGUUAUGUUCUAUGAAGGUGUGAGGUUUUCAAAUUGGCUUUCUUCUAUAUCUAAUCUCGUCAAUAUUACUUUAUAUAAAUGUCCGAAAUGUGAGCAUUUGCCGCCAUUGGACAAUCUGCCUUAUCUGGAAAUUCUCAAUCUUAGCUAUUUCGAUUCUCUGGAGUACAUAUCAGAUGAAGAUAAUUUAUUCUCUUCUUUAUCUGCAUCAGCAGCAACAUUCUUUCCAUCUCUAAAGAUUCUUAAACUCGAAGUUUGCCCUAAUCUGAAAGGGUGGUGGAGAACAUUUAUGGAAGCAAAGAUGGUGCCUCAAUUUCCUUGUCUUUCUAAAUUAACCAUCGCGAAUUGCCGUAACCUGACUGUGAUGCCAACGUUUCCAUCAGUAGACAUGGAGCUUCAUCUUGCCUAUGCCCACAUAAGACCAUUGCAUUAUACAUUGCAGAUGUCUGCAACGGCUUCUGGAGUACCAUCAACCUCUUCUUUAGUUACUUCUCCUUUUUCCAAAUUAAAGACUUUGUGGUUACAGGGUUUUGAGAAUCUAGCAUCUCUACCUGGAGAGUGGAUGCAGAACCUCAGCUUCCUUGAGGAACUAUUUCUUAGCAACUGCAUGGAAAUUAGUGAUGAGGAUGAGCGUGGCAUAUCCAAAUGGAGAUAUCUUGUUAGUCUCCGAGAUCUCUCUCUCUAUAAUCUUUCAAAUCUGGUGUCUCUACCAAGGGAGCUUCAAUAUGUUACCACCUUGCAACGUCUCACUAUCUACGACUGUUCUAAUUUGAGGGCUUUGCCUGACUGGAUAGGCAACCUCACAGCACUCGAAAAUCUACAUAUCGAUGGCUGCCCUAAACUGGAAUCGCUACCAAGAGGAAUGCAUCAAAUAACUACUUUACAACAAUUUAGUGUUCGCCGUUGCGCCCAUUUGUCUGAAAGAUGCGGACACGAUACGGCUGCAGAUUGGCCCAACAUUUCUCACAUCCCAAAUAUCCGCAUAAAUGGAAAUGAUAUUCAAAAGGAGGGCCGGUAUUUACUGUAAGAAGAAGGAUCCUCUGCUUUCACAGGUUAGGACUUUCUUCGCUUCAUCCCUUUUUUUUAUUUUUUUAUAUAUAUAUAUAUAUUUUAUUUUAAAUGAAAUCACCUAAUUUUUUUCAAACAAAUACUUCUAUCCAGUAGGCUACUCCAUUCUGUCUUCACCUUAAUUUAAGUUAACUUACUUUUCUGAUUCUAUAUGCAGAGAUGCUGGAAUAUAUGUUGCUCUUAUAUGCCGCCAACCUUUUUCAAAUUUUAGAAUGGCUCUUAUGAUGACAGGUGGAUAACAAAACUAAAAAAUCAAAGACUAUGUUAUUUCUAUCAGUAAAUCACAUUGGAAGCAAUGGGAAUUUGCAUUGUGUAUCUAAAAGUCAAUUGCUCUGCAACUUACGUUGCAUCGUCGCUACUCCUUUGAGAAUGGAGAAGCAAGCCACUCAAAGCAAGGUCUAGGAUCAGAGCAGCAGAUCCUGGAGCCUCAAGGACUGGUAUCUUUCAAGAGUCAACAAGUGUGGUUCUGUGAUAUAAGCAGGGUUGGAAGGAUUUUAAUACCUGGUAUAUUUGCAAUCAUUGUUCUAUCCUGAUAGUGAAUUUUCUGAAUUUAAUUGCAAUAUGUUCAUGUGUUAAUCCUUGCAGGUUACCUAGAAUGCAAGUCAUUUUAAGCAAAGGUUGAGAUCAUUUUUAAUUUGUUGUUUUAUAAUAAUUUGAAAUUUUUGAAGCUUAUCAAAGCAUCUUCGGAUUUGGUCUCUCCUGAAUUAUUUGAGAACAAGAUAGUGGAUGCCAUGAAAUUCCAGAUUCUUUGAGAAUGAGUAGAGGGGAUAGUGGGUGCUAUGAAUUCACUGGUUCUUCUUUCAGAGUAGGCAGCUUUUGACUCAGCCGUGAAGAAAUGGUCUGCUGUUAUGACGAAAAAUGGCUUCAGAAUAGGCAAUGGUAAAUAUCAUAUGACCUUGUGAAUAGUGGUUUAAAAUCAAUGUAGAAGAUUUUGGAAGAGAACUAAUGCUCUCUGACAGAUUUACACGUGAAGAUGGUAAUGAUACUUGCAAACUCAGUGCGCUUCUGAAAGAAGAUGAAUUGGUUGUGUGGGAGGAAGAAUCCUUAAGUUUUUUAAUCUUUCAUUGAGGGGACAGACAUCGUUUAAGGUUGCAAAUCUAAGAGCUGCUCUUUUCUUGUUCUUUUCACAAGUGUCUUCAUUAGUGAGCAUCCAUAAAAAGUAGUGAGCUAUUUCACUUGUGGCAACUACCAAUGAGAAACCUUUAUUAAAAUAUAAGGAGUAAAUUGUAAUUUACUUGUAAGUUUAAUAUGGGUGCAAUUGGCAGCUCAGUACCAUGUUUCCACUCUACCUCUUUGGAUUUGUGUUGUGAAAUGUAAGAUUACUUUAAACUUUGGUAGGCUGGCAAUAGCCAAUCAGCUAUGAAACCUUCCCUCAAGAAAUUCAUAAAAGUUGUGAAAUUUGAUUUUGAAGCCCUUUUUCUCCUUACCGGGAGUAGAAUAUAAAAUAUUUUAAAUUUAUUCGGAUAUAUUUAUUAUUAAAUUAAGUCUAUAAAUUUAAAAUUUAGAGAUAAAAGUUAUUUUUUAAUAAAUGAGUUGAUAAAAUAUAUUAAUUUUUUUUUAAUGAUGACCGUUCAAUUUCUCUAAUUUUCUUUAAAUAUCUAUUAAUGAAAAAAAGAAAAUAUAAAAAAUUUCCACAAAAUUGAUAUAAAUUUUUUUAAUCAUCCCAAAUAUAUUUUUUAAGAAAAUAAUUUAUUUUUAUAAUGUUAAAAAAUAAAGGGAUAAUAUGAUUUUUAAAAAUCAUAUUGUUUUUUAAAAAGUGAAAUUUUUUCUUUAAAAAUUAUUUAGAUUUUUUUUAUUAAUUUUGAGUCUUCAAAUGCUAAAAAAAUGCAAAAAAAAUAUUUUAUUGGAAAAAUGUUUUUUUUUCAAAACAAAUGAGCUUGACUUUGGUGUAUGUUAGAGCUGCUAUAUUAAAAAGGUAGCUCAUUAAAUAUGUUGGUUAGGAAUUAUUAAAAAUUAUUUAUUAAAUUAAUUUAAUAUAUUCUAAUCAUAAAAAUAUCAUAAUAAAUAAAUAAAGUUUCAAACUACAUUCUUUAAGAAAAUCUAAAAUAGUAAAUAUAUAGUAAAUUUUCAAUCACAAUCCUAAAUGUUUUCAUAUUUAAAUCACAAUCCUAAAUGUAUUUGCCUGUAAUAAUGGUGAUGUUAUAUAGCUAAAAGCUAAUUAGACAUGAUGUUAUCAUAAAAUAAUAUCACUUGGUGAGGGUUCAAUAAGUUAAUAUAUAGUUUCACUCAUUUCAAGUGAAAAUUCGAAUGUUACAAACAUUCAUUUUUUAAUAAGAAAUGUUACAUUUUUCUGAAUAAGUCGAAUUUUUAUAUAAAAUUACAAUUAACAUACACAAUUUAGUAAAUCUCUAUAACGCCUCUAAUUAUAGAAUUACUGAUCAAUGAGCUGAAAAAUUUUUUUAUCAAUGAGUCGGCUAUACCAUUGCCAGAUUUUAAAAAAUAUUAUAAUUGACUAUAUUUUCUUACAAAUAUAACAAUUAAUGAUAAAAAAAAUAAAAAUAUUUAAUUCUUAUAUAAUUACUCUUGAAUUCUAAGUAUUUGUUUAUAUUCAUCAUAUUCUCUAAGUUUAUUGAUUCAGUAAUUACCGUAGGCGUCAAUCACCCACAUUAUUUUUCUUGUAAAUUUAAUUCAUUACUGUAUAGCUCUAUUUUUCAAUUAUAUCAAAUGGUCUGUCUUGCUUAUUAAAAAAAUUAUGAAAUACAGUUUAAUUUUCUUUAGCAAAACUAUUUAAAGGUAAAUUAUAUUUUGAUUUUUAUAUUUUAACAUAAUUAACAGAUCAUUUCUAUAUUUUUAAAACUGAAUACUUAAAUUUAUCUAUAAUCAGUUUGUCCAAAUUUGAGAUCUCUCCAUUUAUUUAUUUAUUUUUUUUAAAUUGGAGGUUGGGGGAUUCGAACCUGAAAUCUUCUCAGAUUUACUCGGAUGCACUUACCACCAGGCUAAGCCUGUGAGUGUCUCUCUAUUUAAUUUUACAGUUAAAAGUGUAAAAAUAUCUUUAUUACUCUCUUUAAAUGGAUAAACUACACUUAAAUUUUUAAAUUUUAGCAAAAUUAAUGAAUCGAUUUCUAUAUUUUUGAAAUCGUACAUAUUAAAUCCCUCUAUAAUCAGUUCAUCCUCAUCUAUUAUAAUUUAAACAUUUUGAUCCUUCAUUUUUAUUUGAAAUAACACUAAAGUUCUCAUUAACUUUUAUUUAUAAUAUCUCAUUUAACUAAAUUUUAGCAUUUUUUUCUUUAAUUUUCAUUCAUUAAAAUAUUUUAAUAUUUAUAUUUUCAAAUUUUUUUAAAAAUACUUACAAUUUCAGCUAUUUUAAAUAGGUUAUAAACUUUAUAAAGAGUAUUUUAAGAAUCAAUCAUACUUUUAGAAAAAAUUUAACCAUCUACUAACUUUGAACUAAUAUUUAUAAUUGAUAGAAUAACUGUAAUUUUAGACGAAUUAAAUAUAUAGAGAUUUAAGAAUUUAAUUUAAAAAUUAUAAAGACUUAUUUAUCAAUUAUAUUAAAAUUUAAAAAUCAAAAUAUAAUUAUACAAUAUAAAAUUCUCACUUAUAUUAAAAAUAAUUUAAGUGUUUAUAUAAACAUUUUAAGUAUUUGAAAUAUUUAUUUUUUCUUUAAUCAGUUGAAUAAUGAAAUUAUAAAUGAAAAUAUUUUUUACUUAGAUAAAAUAAUUAUAUAAAAUUUUAAAUUGUAAAUUGAAAUUAAUCUAUUAAUUAUAUUAAAAUUUAAAAAUUAAAGUGUAAUUUUUUUAAAAUUUAAAUUAAAAUAUGUUGCUUUUAGGUAGCAGGCGGUGAUGGCGCGGACUUGCUUUGGAGCUCCGUUUGGGCCGCUAUUUUGUCUGAAUGGCUUAGGCAUGUGGCUACUGGCCUGUCCAAUUCCCUAUCUAACAUAAAUUAAAUAGUAAUAGUAAUUUUUCUCUCAUAUUUAAAUGGGAGAUAAUUUAAUCUUGAUUAUUGCUAUUAUUAAUAAAUUAUUUUUAUAUUUUCAAAAAUUUAUUGAAAUAUCUUUAAUUUUUAUCUUUCGUUAAUAAAAUAGUUAUUUUAUCAUUUUUUUCGUUAAAAAUAAAUAAAAUAUAAGAGAAAAUUUUUAAAAUCCAAUUUUACUCUUAAAUAAAACUCUUUAUUUAAUCAUUAAAUAUUACUAUUAUUAACAAGUCAGUCUCUACAUUUUUAAAAAUCUAUUAAAACGUUAUUAUCUUUUCUUAUAUCUAUUAAAAUAUUCUUAGCGUUUCUUUUUAUUAAUGAAAUAAUCUUUAUUUUUUCUCACAUCUAUUAAAACGUCCUUAUUGUUUACUUCCGUCAACAAAAUAGUCCUUACUUAUCAUUUCUUUCCUCAAUAAAAUAGUCCAUCCCUAUAUUUUCAUAAAUUGAUUAAAAUGUCGUUAUCUUUUUUCAUAUUUAUCAAAACGUCUUUAUUGUUUCUUUCCGUUAACGAAAUAAUCCUUAUAUUUUUUUCACAUCUAUUAAAAUGUUCUUAUCGUUUCUUUCCGUCAACAAAAUAGUCUCUCAUCUUCCUCUUUCUCUUCCUCCUCAAAAAAACAAGAAAAAAAAUGAAGAAAAAAAGAAGAUAAUGAUAAAGAAUAAGAAAAAGAAUAAAAAAUAAAGAAGAAGAAAAAGAAAAAUGAGAAGAAGACGAUGAUGAUGAAGAAAAAGAAUAAAAGGAAAAAUUACUUUCUCCUUUUUAAAAAAGAAGAAUAAAAAGAAAAAUUAAAAUAGAAUCAAAAAAGAAAAAGAAAAAGAAGAAGAAUAAGAAGAAGAAGAUAAAGAACCGAUGAAGAAGAAGGAGAAGGAGGAAGACAAGAGGGAUAAUUUGAUUUUUUAUUAUAUUUUUAAUGGUAAAAAUAAAUGAAAUGAUUAUUUUAUUGAUAAAUAGAAAAGAUAAUGACGUUUUAAUAAGUUUCUAAAAUUGUAGGGAGUAAUAUCCAAAAAUUAAAUUAUAAAUCAACCUAAUUAAAUUAAUCAUAUUAAUAUGUCAAAAAUAAAUCAAAUGAAUUAUUAGAUUUUUAAGUAUGAAAUAUACAUAAUAAAUUAAUAAUUUAAAUAAACAAGAUACCAAAUUUUGAAUUUUAAACUAAACUAGUUUAUUUUUUUUUUAAAAAAUAUUAUUUUCAUUUCUCAUUUCUCUUUUAUAUAAUAUUAAAAAAUUAUUAUUUAAUUUUUAUAAUAUAAAAAAUUAUAAAUUAAUUUUUUUAAUUUAAAAAAUAUAAUAAAAUAUUUUAAAUAUUUUACUAAUUAAUUCUUCUAUUAACAUUUGUAAUAGAGAUAAAUUAAUUAAUAAUUUUUUUAAAAAUAUAAAAAAUUAAUUAAUUAAUUUUUUAAAAUUAUAAAAAUUAAAUAAUAAAAUUUUUAAAAAUAAAAAUUAAUAAAAUAAAUAAUCAGUAAAUAUUUUUAAAAUAUUAUAAUAUUUAUAUAUUUUUUUUAAAAUUAAAAAAUUUCUUUAUAGUAUAAAGAAUAAAUACUAAUUUUUGCAGUAAUAUUUUGUGAUUUUAAUUUGGCAUUGACUCGAUCAUGAAGUCUUUGUCUUUGUCGGUACUAAAUACAUAAAUUCUAAUUUAAUUUAUUUUAAUUUUAGUUUGUUUGGUGUGGGUCUGUGCACACAUCUCUGGUGUCCAUAAAGUCUCCAUAAAUACUCUCCGAGUCAGAUGUGACUCUGCCUGAACAGCCCUUAAAGCUUUAUAAUAAAAAUCAUACUAAAUUAAAUUUGUUUUUAUUUUAUUUUAUUUUUUAUUUUUUAUUAUUUUACUGAAAACCCAAUUAAAAUAGUAUUAAACUGGUAUCGUAUCCAAACUCACAUUAUAUACAUAUUUUUUAUAAUUUUUAUAUUAUAUAUAAUAAUUUAUAUUUUAAUUUUUAAUAUAAUGAUCAAAUCAAUUUUUAUAUUCUUAACAUAAAAAAUUUAAACUUCUCUAUAAUUCAUCCAUUCAAAUUAAAUAUUCUAUCAUUCAUCUCUUAUUAUUAAAAAUAUUAUUAUUCUUUUAAAUAAAUAAACUAAAUUUUAAUUCUUAAAUUUAAGUAUAAUUAUUUAAUUUAUUUUAUGUAACGACCCGGAAACCGGACCACUACCGGCGCUAGGAUCCAAAUCGGCUUAAGGCAGCCGGAACCCGUAGCAAGCCUAACAUGCAUCCUGAGAACCUGUAUAAUCUCAUACAUGAUCAACAAACAUACAUAAAAACUGUAAACUUUUUUCUUUUUCUUUUCAUACAUUCUUUCAUAUACCAAACUCAACCUGAUCAUACCAUAACUAUACAUUGAUCCCUCUGUGGGAUCUCAUCAAUGCCCCAAUGGGCUACAUACAUAUGUUGAGUUGGUUUACAUCUGUGACAUAAAACAUCUAGGAUCAUAUAAUAAAAGGGACAACAUCAUAGGGUCAAGCACAUCUCUAAACCUCAAUCAUCAUCAUCAUUACAUAACAUACUAUACAAUACUCUUACAUCAUAUUACAAUUUUCAUGUCCACUACCUAUCUAUUACAAGCAUAAAACAUUACUCUUCUUGACUUCUCUGUCUAGCCCGUACCUGCAAACCUGGGGUUAGGGGAGAGGGGUGAGCUAAAAAGCCCAGUGAGCAGAAUAGUAAAAAUAUUGAAUUUAUAUUUCAUGCCUUCAUGAAAUGCAACAUAGCACAAACAAAUCACAUCAAUGAUGAACUUGUCACCAAUAGUCCUCUACAUAAUCCAAACAUGCCAGGGGCGUAGAAUGGGCCUCACUGGUCUUUCUCUUAACAUAUCAUAUCAUACAUAUCAUUCCAUAGUGCCAGGGGCGUAGAAUGGGUCUCACUGGUCUUUCUCUUUCUCUGUGCCAGGGGCGUAGAAUGGGCCUCACUGGUCUUUCCAUACCGUAUCAUCAUCAUGCUAUAACAUAUGAGGACUAAAGGAUCAUUCAAUAUUCAUCCACAUCAUCAUCAAGUUAUACAAUGCAACAUAUUCGUGAUUCUAAUGCAAACAACCUAGUACAUCUCAUGGCAUACGUGAUGCAUGUAUCAUGCUCAACAUUUAUUUAUUAGUUUGAAACUUAAGAAGUUAUUCCACUCACCUCUGGCUAGCUCUGACCAGACACUGGGGCAGCUGACUCACUGCUGGGGUCCUCGGUUCCUCGGGUCCGAACCUACACAGGUGGACUCAAAUGAGGGACCAAACAUACUGAAACAUAACUCUAAACUACUCCCCAAAAACCCCCUAAAACAUCAUAAAACAUUAAUGCAAAAACAUGCAAGAAAUGGCUGAACAGGGCACUUUCGGCGGCAGGUUCGGCGGCCGAAAGUCCCUCCAAAGCCGAAAGUCAGGCAGGUUCGGCGGCACCUUCGGCGGCCGAAACUCCCAGACAGAGACGAAACUCAUGCAUGUUUGGGGGCACCUUCGGCGGCCGAAACUGCCCGACAGAGCCGAAACUCCUCUUUCGGGGGCAAGCUUCGGCAGCCGAAUGCUGCCUCCACAAGAGGGUUCGGCGGCCGAAAGUCCCCUUCGGCAGCCGAACCUGGUUUCUCCCAAAAGGGCAGAAACUCUGCUCAACAUGCACAAAUGCCUCCCAACUCCUCCAUCAUGCACAAACCUAUGCUACAACACUCCCAAACAUGCAUAUAAGCUCCUAGGGGCUCCAAACUAUCCUAAGCCCCAACUACAACACAACAAACAUGCAUAUCACAAGCCACAUUGUACAAAAUCAUGCAUAAAACCCAUAAACUCUACUUAAGCUUACUCAUGCAUUUCUACCCCAUGAACUUGCAUAAAACUUGUUUAAAACAUAAAAUGAACUUAAGAUCGGCUCUUACCUCUUGAAGAUCGAGAAUGAGUCGACUUAAACUCGGAGAUGGGAGAUCUUUAUCUUCCUUGGGUCUCCAAGCUCAAAACUUGCUUAAAAUCGUCAAAUACCUUCAAAUCGACAAAAACAUUGUUAAAAACGAAAGAUCUGAAGGAAAAGCAUUGAAAACAACCUUAGGAGGGCAUAAGCUCACCGUGGCCGAAAAUGGGGAGAAAACUCGCCCGUUUCGGCCAUGGAACUCAUAUAUAGGGGCUGCCAGACCACCUUUCGGCUGCCGAACGUGCCCCCACAUCUCAUGCAUGUUCGGCGGCCGAACAUGAGGUUCGGCGGCCGAACCUUUAAAACUUUCGGAAGCCUAACUUACCCUCCAAAACCAUCCCAUGUUCGGCGGCCGAACUUGGGGUUCGGCGGCGAAACCUGGAAAAGUCUCCUUAGUCUUUUUCAUACAAAACUCAGUUUCCUUUUUAUUUAAAAACAUUAAAUACAUGAAAAACAUUUGUGAAAACAUGAUUCUACCCUUCUAGAGGUCUCUGACAUCCAAAUUCCACCGGACGGUAGGAAUUCCAGUACCGGAAUCUAGCCGGAUAUUACAUUUUAAUAUUUUUAAAAUUAAACAUUUAAAUAUCUUUAUAAUUAAACUUUUCAUAUAUUUAUUUUUAUUAAAAAUAUAAAAAUAUUUUUAUUAUUUUUUAAAUUAAAAAUAUUAAUAAAUUAGAUUUCAUUCAUUUCACUCAUUUAUUAAAAUUUAAAUAGCUAAAUUUAUUUUUUAUUUUUUAUUUGAUAUAAUACUUAAAAUUAAAUUUUAUCUAAAUUAUCACAUUCAAUUAAUUUUUAAUAUUUUUACUAUUUAAUUUCUAUUCAUUAAAAUAUUUUAAUAUUAAAUAAUUUCAAAAUUUUUAAAAGUAUUUAUAAAUUUAAUAAUUUUUAAAUUGUAUUAUAUAUUUAUAAAUAAUAAACUUUACGCCGUAUUCUUAGAGAAAAAAAAUUAUAUUUUUAGAAAUUUGAUAAUAAAGUAGCUUUUAACUAAUAUAUAUAAUGUUUAAAAAAAUUGAAUAUAAAAAAUUUACAAUUUUAGUUUUAAAAAUAUAAGAUUAAUUUAUUAAUUAUAUUUAAAAUUUAGAUAUAAAAUUAUAAUUUAUGCCAUAUAAAUAAUUUUAUCUACAUUAUUAUAUUUAUUAAAUUAUUUUAAAUAUUUAUUUUUUAAUUUAUUAAUUGAUAUAUUUUUUAAAAUUAAUAAAUUUUUUAUAUAAAUAAAAACCUACAUAAUAUAUUAGAUUCAAAUCCCAACAAGUCAAGAUACGACUAACAAGAGAGAUGGGCCCGCUGGCUAUGGAUGAGUAAAGACUGGUGAAUACUGAAUAGAAGGGUAUGUAAGAGUUGACCGGCGAUGACUGCUUAUAGUUAUAUAAUUAAAUUAAGCGUGGGUAUUAAAUUUUUUUAUAUUAUUAUUAUAUAACAUUAUUUUAUAAAAUAAUAUUUUUUUAGUAUAAAUUUACUUCACUUGUUAAGAAAAAUAAAAUAUUUAUUUAAAAAUUUUAAAUUCAAAAUAAUAAUUAAAUACAAAUUUAUGCACUAUAAAUCUCAAUUGUAACAAAUAAAAUUAAAAAUUUCAAUAAAUAAUAUAUAUUAAUAAAUUUAUUCAACAAAUUAUAUUUUAAAAAAAAUAAAGUUUAUUAAAUUGAAUAAAUCUCAAUUAUAGCAAAUAAAGUUUAUAAAUGGAAUAGAGAAUGAAAGAAUUAUUUUAUUGAUAAGAAAAAAAUAUAAAAUAUUUUAAUAAAUUUUUAAAAAUUUAUGGACUGACUUAUUAAUAAUGAUAAUAUUUAAAAAUUAAAUUAUAAUUUUUUUAUAAUUAUUACACUUAUUAAUAAUAUAAAAUAAAAUAAAUUUCAUUUAAACAAUUAAGUUCAUUUUUCAUUUGAAAAAAUAUUUAAAUUCUCAUUAAACUUUGUUUAACCUAUCACAUUCAAUUAAUUACUAUUUAAUUUUUAUUUAUUAAAAUAUUUUAAUAUCAUAUAACUUCAAAAUUUAAAAAAAAAAUUAUAAAUUUAAUAUUUUUAAAUGGUAUCAAAUAUUUAUAGAUUAUAGACUUUAUACUAUAUUUUAAAAAAAAAUUAUAUUUUCAAAAGUUUGUUCAUUUAGUAAUUUUUAAUUAAUAUUUAUAAUAAAUAAAAAAAUUAUAAUUUUAGAUAAAUUAAAUAUAAAAAAUUUAAGAGUUUAAUUUUAAAAAAUAUAAAAAUUAAUCUAUUAAUUAUUAAAAUUUAAAUAUAAAAUUAUAAUUUAUAUAAUAUAAAAAAAUUUAUCCAUGUUACUUUAUUUAUUAAGUUAUUUUAACUUGUGAACUAAUAUGGAUAGAAAAAUAAUAGAACCACCUCUGAUUUGAGAGCAGAGAAUUAAUGGAGUUGACGAGCGAUGACUUGAUUGCAAUUUCCAGCCAAGGAAUUAAAUUGCUUUGUCCUUUGCUUUUAUAAAGUAAGGCCCAUUGCACGUCAAUAUUCUAAAUUUAUUUUAAAUAAAUUAAUAAUUUUUUUUUAAAUUAUAAAAAUUAAAUAAUAAAAUUUUUAAAAACAAAAAUUAAUAGAAUAAAUAAUCAGUAAAUAUUUUAAAAUAUUAUAAUAUUUUUAUAUAUUUUUUAAAAUUAAAAAAUUUCUUUAUAGCAUAAAGAAUAAAUAUUAAUUUUUAUUUUAAUUUGACAUUGACUCGAUCAUGAAAUUUUUGUUUUUAUCGGUACUAAAUACAUAAAUUAUAAUUUAAUUUAUUUUAAUUUUAGUUUGUUUGGUGUCAGUCAAUCGACACAUACAAAAUUUAAAAAUUUCACUCAUAUUAUUAUAUUUAUCAAAUUAUUUUAAAUGUUUAAAAUAUUUAUUUUUAAAUUUAUUAAUUAAUAUAAUUAUGGAUGUAAAAAAUCUCUAAAAUUAUAGAGGACCUCUGAUUUGAGAGCAGAAUAGAGAUAGGAAGCAGAGAAAUGAAGAACACAAGUGUGAGAGGGUGAAUAGAGGUUAGGUAGGAGUUGACGAGUGAUGACUUGAUUGCAAUUUGCAGAAAAAGAAUUAAAUUGCUUUGUCCUUUGCUUUUAUUUUUUAAUAAAUAAAAUCAAAAAUUUUAUAAAAUAGUAAUAAUAUUUUAAAGGGAGAUUUAUAAUUUAAUUUCUAGAUAUUAUUAUUAUUAAUAAAUCAAUAUUUAUAUUUUUAAAAAUUUAUUAAAAUAUUUUUAUAUUUUCUUUUUCGUCGAUAAAAUGGUCAUUCCGUCCUCUAUUAAAAUAUUUUUAUAUUUUCUUUUCCAUCAAUAAAAUAGUCAUUCCGUCCUCUUUUCCGUUAAAAUUAGAUAAAAGGUAAGAGAUAAAAUUUUUAAAUUCCAAUUUUAUCCUCAAAUAAAAUAUUUUAUUUAAUUCUUAUCGUUUCUUUUCGUCAACGAAAUAAUUCCUAUAUUUUUUACAUCUAUUAAAACGUUCUUAUCGUUUCUUUUCGUCAACGAAAUAGCUCUUCCUCUCUCGACCUUCUCCUCUCCACCUCCUCCUCCUUCCUCCUCUUCCUCCUCUUCCUCCUCCUCCUCAUUAUCAUCAUCAUUAAAAAAGAAAAAAAAAAGAAAAUGAUGAUGAUAAUGAUGAAGGAGAAGAAGAAAAAGAAGAAGGAGAAGGAGAAGAAGAAAAAGAAGAAGGAGAAGGAGAAGAAGCAGAAGUGAAGAAAAAGCAGAAGAAGCAGAAGUAGAAGUGAAGAAUCGAAAAAGAAAGAGGAAGAAUCGAUGAAGAAGAAAGAGGAGGAGAAAAAGGAAAAGAAGGAGGACAAUUUGGUCUUUUAAUAUAUUUUUAACUGCAAAAAUAAAUAGAAUGACUAUUUCGUUGACGGAUAAAAAAGAUAAGUACGUUUUAAUAGAUUUCUAAAAAUACAGAGACUUGACUGAUUAAUAAUGCCAAUAUCCAAGAACUAAAUUAUACAUCUCCCUAAUUUAAAUUUAAUAUAUCAUAUUUUCUUCCACACCUUAUAUAUAUUGGAUCAUUAAUUAUGGACUGCAUCAUCUCUCACAAAUCCUGAAAUUUUCCUUUAAUUUCUUCAUUUUCAUCUUUGCUCAUUUUCAGUUUUUUUCUUUCUAUCGAUGGCUGAACAAAUCCCAUUUAGCAUUGCGGAAAACUUACUAAUAAAGUUGGCCUCAAUUGCUUCUGAAGAAGUUAGUUUGGUGUAUGGCUUCAAAAAGGAUCUUAGGAAGCUUCAAACUACUCUCUCCACCAUCAAAGCAAUACUUGUGGAUGCUGAGGAGAAGCAAGAGGAGAGCCUUGCAGUGAAGAACUGGGUAAGGAGGCUUAGAGAGGUUGUCUAUGAUGCAGAUGACUUGUUCGAUGAUUUUGCAACUGAAGGUUUGAGAAGGAAGGCUGAAGGUGAGGGAAGAAUGGUUAGGAAGGUAUGCGACUUCUUUUCUUCCUCCAAUCAAAUUGCAUUUCGUUUCAAGAUGGGUCAUAGUAUUAAAGAUAUUAGAGAGAGGCUGGAUGAAAUCGCCAAAGAAAUAUCUGACUUUGGCUUUAUAAUUAGGAAGGAAGUUGGAGUAUGUAUGGGAAUAAAGAAUAGUUGGAGGGAGACAGAUUCCUUUGUAUUGAAAUCAGAAAUUGUAGGAAGAGAUGAAGAUAAGGAGAAGAUCAUAGAAUCAUUGAUGUGUCCAGUCAAUCAAAGCAAUAUUUCUGUAGUUGCAAUUGUAGGGUUUGGUGGCUUAGGAAAGACUGCACUUGCCCAAUUAGUGUUUAAUGAUGAGAAAGUGGUGAAUUAUUUUGAUUUGAAGUUAUGGGUAUGUGUUUCUGAGGAGUCAAAUGUUGAAACACUAGUUAAACUCAUCCUUAAAAGUGCAAGCAAUAAUGAAGUGCCCAACUUGUCUUUGGAACAGUUACAGAUUCGCCUUAGACAAUGUUUAGAAGGCAAAAAGUACUUGUUGGUGUUGGAUGAUGUGUGGAAUGUAAACAAUAGGAUUUGGAGUCACUUGAGGAAAUAUUUGAUGGUUGGUGCCAUUGGGAGUAGAAUUUUAGUAACUAGUCGUAGUAAGAGGGUUGCUUUAGCUAUGGGUGUAGACUCUCCAUAUGCUUUACAGGGUCUUACUGAAGAUCAAUCAUGGGAGCUAUUUGAGAAGCUAACAUUUAGAGAGGGAACAGGAAGAGUGAAUUCAAAUCUAAUAGAAAUUGGAAAAGAAAUGGCAAAGAAAUGCAAAGGAGUUCCACUUGCAAUUAAAGCUAUAGGAGGCAUAAUGCAACUAAGAAGUAGUGAAAGUGAAUGGUUGUCUGUCCUAGAAAAUGAGUUGUGGAAGGUAUUCGAGAGUGAUGGUGAUAUUAGUCAAGUGUUGAAAUUGAGUUAUGAUGUCUUACCAUACCAUUUAAAGCAGUGUUUUGCAUAUUGCGCAAUGUUUCCAAAAGAUUUUGCGUUUGUUAAGGAUAAAUUAAUUCAGUUGUGGAUGGCACAAGGCUAUGUUCAAUCUCAAAGUCAAAGUGAAAAUGAAAAUUUAGAGGAGAUUGGGGAAGGAUACUUCAAUGAAUUGUUAUUUAGGUCAUUUUUCCAAAAGGAUGAGUAUUGUUAUAAAAUGCAUGACCUUAUCCAUGACCUUGCACAGUCAAUAGCAGGGGAUAGUUGUUUUGCAGUUGAUGAUAAUACUAAACAUAUUCCUGAUAGAGUCCAACAUGUGUUCUCUGGAAAUUUGUCUUUUGAGGAAUGCUUCAGGCAGCUAAAAAAUAAAGGAUUGAGGACACUGUAUUGUCCAUAUAUUGGUGAUGGAUUAAGGUUGAAUUUAGAUAGUAUCUUUUCAAAUUGUAGGAGCAUACGUGCUUUGAGUUUUGGAUGGAAUAUCAAUGGAUUGCCAGAUUCAAUUGGAAAGUUGAAACACCUGAGGUAUCUUGAAUUUUUUAGUUCUAAUAUCAGUUCACUUCCAAACUGCAUUUGCAGCUUGUAUAAUUUGCAAACUCUAAU
RNAcentral lists this long non-coding RNA (15385 nucleotides) under Manihot esculenta (cassava). RNAcentral's name for it is "long non-coding RNA (MESC_LNC006279)". Lineage: Eukaryota; Viridiplantae; Streptophyta; Magnoliopsida; Malpighiales; Euphorbiaceae. The record is from RNAcentral.